This 30-nucleotide non-coding RNA is filed under the name Mus musculus (house mouse). Lineage: Eukaryota; Metazoa; Chordata; Mammalia; Rodentia; Muridae. The record is from RNAcentral.
UCUGCAUGUACAUUUGCACUCCAAAGGAGG